Molecule: ribosomal RNA, 1450 nt
Filed under: uncultured bacterium
Lineage: Bacteria
Description: 16S ribosomal RNA
Rfam family: Bacterial small subunit ribosomal RNA
Source: RNAcentral
AGAGUUUGAUCAUGGCUCAGAACGUACGCUGGCGGCACGCCUAACACAUGCAAGUCGAACGCAGUAGCAAUACUGAGUGGCAAACGGGUGAGUAUAAUGUGGGAAUCUGCCUUUUGGUUCGGAAUAACACGAGGAAACUUGUGCUAAUACCGGAUAAGCCCUUACGGGGAAAGUUUUAAUGCCAAAAGAUGAGCCCGCACUUGAUUAGCUAGUUGGUAAGGUAAUGGCUUACCAAGGCAACGAUCAAUAGCUGUUCUUAGAGGAAGACCAGCCACAUUGGGACUGAGACACGGCCCAAACUCCUACGGGAGGCAGCAGUGGGGAAUCUUGCACAAUGGGGGAAACCCUGAUGCAGCGAUGCCGCGUGAGUGAAGAAGGCCCUUGGGUUGUAAAGCUCUUUCGUCGGGGAAGAAAAUGACUGUACCCGAAUAAGAAGGUCCGGCUAACUUCGUGCCAGCAGCCGCGGUAAUACGAAGGGACCUAGCGUAGUUCGGAAUUACUGGGCUUAAAGAGUUCGUAGGUGGUUGAAAAAGUUAGUGGUGAAAUCCCAGAGCUUAACUCUGGAACUGCCAUUAAAACUUUUCAGCUAGAGUAUGAUAGAGGAAAGCAGAAUUUCUAGUGUAGAGGUGAAAUUCGUAGAUAUUAGAAAGAAUACCAAUUGCGAAGGCAGCUUUCUGGAUCAUUACUGACACUGAGGAACGAAAGCAUGGGUAGCGAAGAGGAUUAGAUACCCUCGUAGUCCAUACCAUAAACGAUGAUUGCUAGAUGUUGGAAAUUUAUUUUCAGUAUCGCAGCUAACGCAUUAAGCAAUCCGCCUGGGGAGUACGACCGCAAGGUUAAAACUCAAAUGAAUUGACGGGGACCCGCACAAGCGGUGGAGCAUGUGGUUUAAUUCGAAGAUACGCGCAGAACCUUACCAACCCUUGACAUGUCUGUCGCGAGUUUAGGAAACUAGACUUUUCGGUUCGGCCGGACAGAACACAGGUGCUGCAUGGCUGUCGUCAGCUCGUGUCGUGAGAUGUUGGGUUAAGUCCCGCAACGAGCGCAACCCCUACUUUUAGUUGCCAUCAGGUAAUGCUGGGCACUCUGAAAGAACUGCCAGUGAUAAGCUGGAGGAAGGUGGGGAUGACGUCAAGUCCUCAUGGCCCUUACGGGUUGGGCUACACACGUGCUACAAUGGUAGUGACAAUGAGAUGCAAGGUGGCGACGCUAAGCUAAACUCAAAAAUCUACCUCAGUUCGGAUUGCACUCUGCAACUCGAGUGCAUGAAGCUGGAAUCGCUAGUAAUCGUAGAUCAGCGUGCUACGGUGAAUACGUUCCCGGGUCUUGUACACACCGCCCGUCACACCAUGGAAGUUGGUUCUACCUUAAAGCAGAUUGCUAACCGCAAGGAGGCGUUUGACCAAGGUAUAGUCAGCGACUGGGGUGAAGUCGUAACAAGGUAACCGUA